GACGAACGCUGGCGGCGUGCCUAAUACAUGCAAGUAGAACGCUGAAGGAGGAGCUUGCUUCUCUGGAUGAGUUGCGAACGGGUGAGUAACGCGUAGGUAACCUGCCUGGUAGUGGGGGAUAACUAUUGGAAACGAUAGCUAAUACCGCAUAAUAGCAGUUGUUGCAUGAUAACUGUUUGAAAGGUGCAAUUGCACCACUACCAGAUGGACCUGCGUUGUAUUAGCUAGUUGGUGGGGUAACGGCUCACCAAGGCGACGAUACAUAGCCGACCUGAGAGGGUGAUCGGCCACACUGGGACUGAGACACGGCCCAGACUCCUACGGGAGGCAGCAGUAGGGAAUCUUCGGCAAUGGACGGAAGUCUGACCGAGCAACGCCGCGUGAGUGAAGAAGGUUUUCGGAUCGUAAAGCUCUGUUGUAAGAGAAGAACGAGUGUGAGAGUGGAAAGUUCACACUGUGACGGUUUCUUACCAGAAAGGACGGCUAA
This 487-nucleotide ribosomal RNA is filed under the name Streptococcus mitis. RNAcentral's name for it is "bacterial SSU rRNA". It matches the Rfam family "Bacterial small subunit ribosomal RNA", at positions 28 to 500 of the family's 1533-position model. Lineage: Bacteria; Bacillati; Bacillota; Bacilli; Lactobacillales; Streptococcaceae. The record is from RNAcentral.